This is a non-coding RNA of Nicotiana tabacum (common tobacco), 2426 nucleotides long. Lineage: Eukaryota; Viridiplantae; Streptophyta; Magnoliopsida; Solanales; Solanaceae. The record is from RefSeq and is a predicted model, not a curated record.
AAUCUCUACCCUUUGGAAACUCGGAAGUUUGUUUGACUGAACAGAGUGGCAUUGGCAAGCAGAAGCAGCAGUAUAUAAAUAUUUCAUUUAGAGAUUCCUCUCCCCAUUCCUCUCUACCCCCUAGCUCCUCUCCACAUCAGAUUAUGGGGAUUAUAAAAGAUGGUUCAGUAUCAGGAAUUUUACCCAGUAACAAGGUCUUUGCUGUUCAUUACCCUGCUUACCCUUCUUCAAUGGAACGUGCCAUUGAGACUCUUGGCGGCAUUCAAGGCAUUGUCAAGGCUCGAACUUCACAGUCAAAUAAGCUGGAGCUCCAUUUCCGGCCAGAAGAUCCUUAUUCACACCCUGCCUUUGGGGAGCUUAGGCAUAGAAAUAAUUUCCUGUUGAAAAUAUCCAAGACUAAAGUAAGGGAUGUCGAAACCGCUGACAAUAGUUGUGGAAUAUCGAUGCAAUCUUCAGGGAGUCCUGUUAAUUGUGAACAAGAAAUUUCUCGUGUUGAACAUUCGUUAGCUGCAGAAAAGGUGAAUGAGUCUAGAUGGUUAUCUGCUGGUGCUUCAAAAGAAUUUGAAGUGCAGAAUACUACAAAAUUGCAGGUGCAUCUCUCAGCUAAUAUUGUUUCUCAUGUUGCUGAAGCUUAUCAUUUUAAUGGAAUGGUAGACUAUCAGCAUGUUCUUGCCGUUCAUGCUGAUGUUGCUAGAAGAAAAAAAAGACAGUGGGCAGAGGUGGAACCUAAAUUUGAGAAGGGAGGUCUUAUGGAUGUCGAUCAGGAGGAUUUGAUGAUUUUACUACCUCCUCUGUUUUCCUUAAAAGAUAUGCCUGAGAAUAUUGUAUUAAAAUCACUUGCACCAAAAAGAAAACAAGAGGUGCUUUACCGGCAAAAUUGGGAGAGGGAGAUGGAGCAGAGUCUUAACCUUGAUGUUAAUAUCAAAGAGAUUCCUAAACCAGUGGAUUGGGAAAAGCACAUACUUCAGGGCUCAGAAGAUUGGAGACGGCAGAAGGUGGUAUCUGAAUUGUUUGAAGAGCGUCAAAUAUGGGUCAAAGAGUCAUUAGCUGAGCGCUUGCGUGAUGGGGGUCUGAAGCUUGGAGAGAGCAGGAUCAAAAGGCUUCUCUUUAGAGUAGCAUAUUACUUUUCGAGUGGGCCUUUCCGUAGAUUCUGGAUAAGGAAAGGUUAUGAUCCUCGGAAGGAUCCUGAAUCCCGCAUAUUGAAACAUAGAUGGGAUGAUAUAUGUGCCUUCCGUGUUUUUCCGUAUAAAUGUCAGAUAUCAUUGCAACUUUGUGAACUCAAGGACAACUACAUUCAACAAGAAAUCAGAAAACCCUCAAAUCAAGAAACUUGUGAUAAUACAACAGGAUGGUUCUCCUCUCAUAUUCUUGAUUGCUUGAGACUGUGCAUUGCUGUGAGAUUUAUGUCAGUAUGCCCUCAUCCCGAUGCAGAGUCUUUACUAAAAACUGUGUCUGCCCGCUUUGAGAAGUCGAAGAGGAUUCACACUUGUGUGAAAGUUACAAGAUCUGAAGAGCAAGGAAAAGUCCAUAAAGAAGCUGAAAACAAUGAAGUCGAUGACCAAGCAGAAAACAAUGAAGUUGAUGAACCUGAUUAUUUAGAAGAUGAUGAAGAUGACUUUGAGGAUGAUAAUGUUGAAGAUGAGAUGGAUGCGUACGAACCUCUUGACCUUGUUGGCCAGGAAGGGGAUGUCUCUAUACAUGAUGAUCCACAUACAAACCACGAUAAUGUUUCAAGAGAUUACUUGCAAGAGCUCUUUGGUAAUUUUCCAUUCAGUACAGCGGGGGUGGAUGAAGUGCAAGAUGAUCAGAGUCUUGGAGAAUAUCAGAUAUAUGACCAAUACAUCGAUGGCUCUUAUUCCGAAGAUGAAGACUACUAAGAUGUCUUUUGUAUAAAGAUAAGAAGCAGUCAAGAGCAAUACCAGAAAGGAACUGCACAGAAAAUAGCUGCACUCGCACUCGCAGUUGCUAGAGGGAAGCUUUUCGGAUCUACUUGAAGAUUCGAAGCGGAAGUAAAAGAAGAAGUAAGUAAGAAAAAACAAAUUUUCCUGUACCAUUCUAAUUAUUUAUUCCAAUUGCAUGUGAAUUUCUUUUCCUGUACUUCCAUAUAAGUUUUCUAAAGAGUUUGUACAUCAAUUUAACCUCUUUUUUUUACUUGACUGAAACUGAUGUCCAACAGGCCUUGAUAUGUAGGGUCUUAUUUUUGCAAGAAAGGAAACAAAGCCAAUUCCAUUUCGAUAUUAUAUUGUUCAAGAAUUAAGCAGGAAAUUUACUUUGCCUUUGUUUUUUUCUUUUUGUUCUAUGUUUGUGAGAUCCACUUCUUGCAAACAAAACUUGGUGAAAAUUGGUAAGAAUAUGAUGCAACAACGGCGUAUGCAACAAUGAUUGUUAUAUCAUUGAGAAGUAAAUAGUAUGCUCUAUCUUGUCCA